GGUCUGAGAGGAUGAUCAGUCACAUUGGGACUGAGACACGGCCCAAACUCCUACGGGAGGCAGCAGUGGGGAAUAUUGGACAAUGGGCGCAAGCCUGAUCCAGCCAUGCCGCGUGAGUGAUGAAGGUCUUAGGCUUGUAAAGCUCUUUCACCGGUGAAGAUAAUGACGGUAACCGGAGAAGAAGCCCCGGCUAACUUCGUGCCAGCAGCCGCGGUAAUA
This 219-nucleotide ribosomal RNA is filed under the name uncultured bacterium. RNAcentral describes it as "partial 16S ribosomal RNA". It matches the Rfam family "Bacterial small subunit ribosomal RNA", at positions 289 to 525 of the family's 1533-position model. The record is from RNAcentral.